AAUCGUAAGCAGUCCGACCCGAGAGGUCA
RNAcentral lists this small RNA (29 nucleotides) under Bombyx mori (domestic silkworm). Its description in RNAcentral is "ovarian small RNA-10801". The record is from RNAcentral. Lineage: Eukaryota; Metazoa; Arthropoda; Insecta; Lepidoptera; Bombycidae.